Long non-coding RNA from Gavialis gangeticus (Gharial), 2638 nucleotides. RefSeq lists it as uncharacterized. The record is from RefSeq and is a predicted model, not a curated record. Lineage: Eukaryota; Metazoa; Chordata; Crocodylia; Gavialidae. The transcript has 5 exons.
GGGCUGCACCGUCUCCUUGGGAGCCUAGUCCUCGCUUGCUGUUUUGUGGGGGCUUGGGGUUUUUUGGACACCUGAAAGCUGUGACAAGUGUGUCGAGAGCAGUAUUACAGAAGUACGUAUGACACCCCUUCAAAAUAUAACUGCUGUUGAGUAGAAGUCCUGAUUGUGACAGCGAAAAUGAAAUUUCCACCAAAUUUGGGCAGAAAUGGAGGCUGUUACCCAAAAUGUUUCAAUCUUUGCUUGAAAUAAAGUGAAACAGUUGUGUUUACUGUUGCUUAAAAUAUAAAUGGCAAGAUGUGCAACCACCUGUUGAUAAACAAAUGUCAGAAGUCAUAAAUCUAAGGAACAUGCUGGCACCUGUGCAGUACUUGGAAAAAGGAAUAAAUUUCACCAUAAGACUCUUGACUAGAUCAACAGGCUGAAGUGACCACUUCAUACUUGCCAUCUAGGCUUCCGCCUCCCCUUCCUCCCACGCAAUUUGCUUCUGGAUGCAUUGCAGGUGUUGAUCAUCUAUGAAGUCUCCUAACUGGUUUGGCAGUAAAUAAACUAGUGCCUUGAUCCUGCAUUGCAAUGCACAAAAAGACUCUUGACUUCAGCAGGGUUCUGACUGGGAAGAAGCAAUCUGUCUAAGAACUACAUGAAGUGGAAGAAAAGCAUAAUACAUAGAUAUGCUUUUAGCAUCAAGAUUAUGCUACAUAAACAAGAAAUUUACGUUGGUAUAAUGUGGAUGGCGUUUUACAAACAUGUAACUAUUAUAGAACCUUGCCCCAAGAACCAUAAAAAACUACCAAAUACUGCUCCAAUUGAAGUGCUAAAUUGAGCUUGAUACUGACUUUGUAUGAGAGCAGAACACAUUCUAAUAUCUGUACACUAGUAUAUAUCUACACAGCACUGCAUUGUACAUUAUUAAUUGUGCUAAUUAAUCUAAGUGGAUGACUGCAAAAAUGGUUAUACAGCUUCCAAGCUCUCGGCUUGUUUCCACAGCACAGUACUCUGAGACAUAACACAGCUAGGCAUACCUAUACACGUGCUCUGAUGUGUUCUAAUUAGAACAUGUCGGAGCACACUCAAUUAAUUGAGUCUUUUUCAAAUUCUAAUUAGAGUGCGCUAGCACUGCCACAGGAUCACAUGCAAAAAUGCUUGCUGGGGUGCUUCAACUAAUGCUCAUCGAAUGAACUUUAGUUAAAGCAUUUCAUGGCCAUUUUUAAAUGCAGAGGGUCUUAAUACACAUGACACUGAGGUGCUUUCCAGGAACCACUCGAAUUAAAAUGCAUCCCCCCACACCAGACCACAUGUACAGGGACCCAAGGUUAGGCAGAAGACAAUACAUUAUGUGGACAGGAUGCAAGGAUUGGAGAAGAGAAGCAAGUAUAACAAAAAAUGGGCAGGUUCAACCUGAAGCCUGAUACUUCAUGACAUUUGCCCAUUACACAGCACUACUGUGAACGUAGCUCUAAUUCUGUACUUCAUAUCCAGGAAAAAAAUUCCAUUGCAACCACUAGGAAUUUUCUGAUUAAAAACUAUGAGAUUAGGUCUUGGAGUAAGAUACCAUAAAGUGUUUGGAGAUAAGAAGACAACCACUUAUACUGAGGGACUAGGCAAAACAGCAGAGAAUCAAGCUUAGUCUGUUCUUGCUUUGCUACAAUCAAUUGAUUUGGUAUUUUUUUAACAUAAUACUAAUGGUCUUAAAAGGAUUUUUUUUCUCUGACUUUUUAAAAAGGAAACAAACUAGCAUGUAUACAACAAAUCUGAAGCGUUACCGUCUAAAAACUGACAACACACAUAAAAAUAAUAGAAAAUUAUAACAAUAAAUAUUAAAUAAUAAACAUAAUUAUGAAAGAAGGCAGACUACUGUGACAUGCUCAGUACUGUUCCUCAAGGUAACAUCUGAUUAGACUCUAAAACAAAUUAGGCAUCUGCUUAGAGUUUUUUAUUAUAUUUUGAAUUAAUGUACUGCAUAUGACCCAACAGUUGGAACAUCAGAAGUUUGCCACUUAAUCGUAGGACACCAAACAGGAAUACAAACUUCCUUGUUCUACCCACAUGUCACUGAAAAAGAAAAUACUAUUGUAUUCUUUCGUAACAGACUAAAAUGUGGUUGUGUUCCUAAUGUAAGACAAGAGUUUUGGACCAUUACUCUGGGAUAAGGAUUUUCUUUUUGUUUUGUAUUUCUACAGUUCAUUGUACUAUGGAGUUCUAGUCAAUUACUACAGUAUCUAAGUGCUACAAUAAUAUGGAUAAUAAGUAACAAAUAAUACUUUGAGUACUGCGGUCCUUUUCUUUGUGCUAGAGCACUGUUUGUACUCUAGGCAGUAGCUAUUGAAUACACAUCUUUAGCAUUAGAAGUAAUAAAAAAAAGAAUCAUUACUGUUGACUGAAUCCUGGAGAGAAAACCAUAGAAGUAAAAAAUAAAACAGUAAACCAGAGUCCCUUUAGCAUGCAGGCCAUUUGCCAGCUGCUUUUCACAGGAACGUUCAUUUCUGUUGUUUUCUUCAAAUGUAGAAAGAAGAUAAACAUUUUCUUAUUGCAAGUUAACAAACACUACCAUACAUGACAGGUUGAUAAGCACUAUCCAGAGUUGUAUUCGGAGCUUCUUAGGUCAUUUGAAAAAAAUUGGAAAUGCACUAAAGAGUUUUAA